GAUGAACGCUGGCGGCGUGCUUAACACAUGCAAGUCGAACGGUGAAGGCGGAGCUUGCUCUGCUGGAUCAGUGGCGAACGGGUGAGUAACACGUGAGCAAUCUGCCCCUGACUCUGGGAUAAGCGCUGGAAACGGCGUCUAAUACUGGAUACGAGCUGCGAAGGCAUCUUCAGCAGCUGGAAAGAAUUUCGGUCAGGGAUGAGCUCGCGGCCUAUCAGCUUGUUGGUGAGGUAAUGGCUCACCAAGGCGUCGACGGGUAGCCGGCCUGAGAGGGUGACCGGCCCCACUGGGCCUGAGACACGGCCCAGACUCCAACGGGAGGCAGCGGUGGGGAAUAUUGCACAAUGGGCGAAAGCCUGAUGCAGCAACGCCGCGUGAGGGACGACGGCCUUCGGGUUGUAAACCUCUUUUAGCAGGGAAGAAGCGAAAGUGACGGUACCUGCAGAAAAAGCGCCGGCUAACUACGUG
RNAcentral lists this ribosomal RNA (468 nucleotides) under uncultured bacterium. RNAcentral's name for it is "partial 16S ribosomal RNA". It matches the Rfam family "Bacterial small subunit ribosomal RNA", at positions 28 to 507 of the family's 1533-position model. The record is from RNAcentral.